GGAGGCAAAGGGGCCUACAGGGCUAGUAGCUUAUACGUUGUUGAACGUCCUGCCUGGACCCGGAGCCGCCCCCAUCUAAACCCUCUGCGUACCUGUCCCUUCUUGCUUCCCCCGGCAUCUCGUCGGGGGGAGGUAACAACCAAAACUCUCUGUGAAUCAAACAGCCGUCAGAAUUAUAAAACAAACAAAAGUUAAAACUUUCAACAACGGAUCUCUUGGUUCCCACAUCGAUGAAGAACGCAGCGAAAUGCGAUAAGUAAUGUGAAUUGCAGAAUUCAGUGAAUCAUCGAAUCUUUGAACGCACAUUGCGCCCCCUGGUAUUCCGGGGGGCAUGCCUGUUCGAGCGUCAUAAAAACUUCCUCCCCCUUCGGGUUUUGUUACUAUCGUUGGGGGGUUUUGGCCUAAUGGGAUAGCGAUUGGCAAUUCGUUUCCCAAUGUCCUAAAUACACGUAGACCCGCCUCCAGAUGCGACAGCACCGAGGCCAUCAACCGUGGAGUUAUGGGAUAUAAUAGGCUUGCAGUAAAAUGCUCACCUCUCUCCACACGCCGAUGGCACGACAGUUGCAGUUGCGGGCGUAAAUUGGAGCCCUUUUCAGGACCCUUGUGGCCUAGCAUCCACCAUACAUAAUU
RNAcentral lists this ribosomal RNA (630 nucleotides) under Morchella sp. Mc13-20. RNAcentral's name for it is "eukaryotic LSU rRNA". The stretch from base 196 to 349 matches the Rfam family "5.8S ribosomal RNA". The record is from RNAcentral. Lineage: Eukaryota; Fungi; Ascomycota; Pezizomycetes; Pezizales; Morchellaceae.